ACGGUGUAACUCGGGUACGAUCACUCCGACGUCACGGUGUUCGGGAAGUCCGGUGAGAAACCGGCGCGGUACUCGCCACUGUGAGCAGGUCCGGCGGGACCGAGAAGUCAACGUCUUCAGCCACUGGGCAGCGCCCGGGAAGGUCGUUCCGCCGGUAGACCCUGUUGAGCCAGGAGACCGGCCGUGACCGACCCCCCGAA
Molecule: non-coding RNA, 200 nt
Filed under: Gordonia malaquae
Lineage: Bacteria; Bacillati; Actinomycetota; Actinomycetes; Mycobacteriales; Gordoniaceae
Also listed under: 1 other name
Source: RNAcentral